RNA transcript from Arachis stenosperma, 5413 nucleotides. RefSeq lists it as uncharacterized. NCBI's taxonomy places the organism in Eukaryota, Viridiplantae, Streptophyta, Magnoliopsida, Fabales, Fabaceae. The transcript has 13 exons. The record is from RefSeq and is a predicted model, not a curated record.
UUAGUUAUUAUGAUCACUCAAUUAAUAUUCAUUUAGUCAAGUGAAUUUAUGUUAAAAGGUAAAUAAAUUAAUUAAGAAAAAAUCUAAGACCAACAAUUUUUGUGUUUUGUGGCUAGCACUUAACCAUAAAAAAAAGUGAGUGAUCUUCUACUUUUCCAACUCUUAGCUUGAAACCUUUUUCCUUUUUUCCAACUCUUGGCUUCAAACCUUUGUGACUAUAAAUACAUGAUUAUUGUGUGGCUCUAUGCAAAACCAAAACUGUUCUAUUAUAUUCCUAAUAAUCAUAAUAAGAUGAUGAAGCCCAUUUUUGUUGCAUUUUUGCUUUUGGCUUCCCUAAUCUUCCUUCCUUCUUCAACUCUAGCUGCUCGAAUACUAGCACACAAUCAGCGUGUGAGUGGGAGAAGCGUUGUUAAUAAGGGUAUUGGAUGUGAUCCUUCGAAUCCUAACAAACCUUGUUAUCCGCCCAGGCCACGAUGCAAGAACCCCUACAGGCGUAAAUGCUACUCGCCACCGCACAAUAAUUAAGCUCCGACGAGAAACUAAUUAAGCCACUUGUUAAAGUUUUUUCAAUACAUUAAAUAGUAGGUGAAUUCUUCCAAACCCAUGGCAAAUUUGUGGGUAAGUUACCCUUGCACAUGUGUCUUUAUCUCAGCUAUUGAUCAAUAAAAUUUUUAACCUUUCAUUAAUUGAUGCAUUAAAUAUUUUCACACUACAUUGUAUUUUAUAUUAUUUACAUUAUACCCCAUAACUUUAUUAUACUUGAUGCAAUACACAAAUAGUUGAUUUUACAAAUCUCUCCCCAAAUACCAUACAAAUCAAAACCUUCCCCAAAUACCAUUGAAAUGUGUACAGCUUCUUCUUCUACCUCUCAAAAGACACUUCAAAAGAUCUCACUUCUUCAACCUCACUGCUUCUUUUACCCUUCUAUGAUCUCACUUCUUCUUCUUCUCUAUCCUUCUCCACAGCUGCUUCAUCUACCUCAGUGCUUCUUCUACCCUCCCCUUAACUUAAGCGUUUGAUUUUUCCGACGACCCACUCGGUGAACCUUCCCCGAAAUACCGCCGUAAUGUCUACAGCCUGUUUUUCUACCUCGUUCCUCUGAUUUCUAGGUCAGUCAUCGUCAGGGACAGAUUUUCUCGAACCCCCUGGAAGACCCUGCCUUCUGCGUCUUCGUCCAGGGUUACGCGGGUGUCAUUUUCUGUGAUUUACCGUCGAAGAACGUAAGUGAUCCCCUUGCUAGCAAGGUUCCGGUGACCCACGUGCAGAACGCUCUCGGAAAACCCUUAUCGAUGGCCAGCGAUGCAUGCUCCUCAAACACGAGACGAGGAAUAGGGGGAGCCGGCGGACAACGGGAACUAAGAGCUGGAAAUGCAACCUCAAGUUCGCUCCAACCUCAGGAUGUAAUAGAUGGUGUGGCCCCAAAAUGCUUCUGCGAAAAAUAUGCCAUCAGUUACAUGUCGAAGACAGACACCAACCCAAAUAGGUUAUUUUUUGGAUGCCCAUUAUUAAAGGUGACAGAAGCACAUUGCAAGUUCUUUCUCUGGGUUGAUGACCACAUUGUUAGGGUCAGAGCGGGGGAGGCUACAAGGGGAUCGGGUGACGGGAAGCAGAGUGAUGUUGGAAAAUACUUGGGAAUGGAUAACUUGAUAGACCAUGUAGAGGAAAGAAUAGCAAAACUGGAGAAGCUGCUGAACAAGAAAAGUAGAGAAGCAGAGUUGAGGAAAAAGGGUAGAGAAGCAGCUGCAAGAGACAUGGAUGCUUCAUCAAGAACGUCUACUAAUUAGCUGCAAACCAGAACCCGAAGCACCUCGAUUAGCGACGUGGCCGUGGAGGUAGAGUGCAAGCUGGAGUUUGUUCAUGGAGUUCUAAUGGCUUAUUGCAGGUUUUACCGUCCACUGGACUAGGUCCUGUCAUCGUCCAACAAAGCAGUGGUGUAUACAAAUGUUCUCUUAAAACCCAGGGCCAUCAUUUCAAGUCUAUCUAAAAGUAAAGUGGGCUAUCUAUCAACUUGGGCCAGCUACAAAAACAAUUAGUGGAUAAUUCAAGUCAGGAUUAAUGCAGCAACUGGCUUGAAACCUGUUAAGCCCAACUCUGUCCGGAAUUUUAAAGGAAAACCAAGUUUUUCCAGACGACGACUUCGAAGGACAAGGGUAAGAGAGUCCAAGAGAUUGAUAAUGGUACGACACAAAGCUACAAGAUGAGGUUUCUGAAGCCAAUAAUAAGGCCUUCAAUGUUCAAACUGUCAUUACCUAUAACUCCCGAUCAGCUACCAAACCGUACCCCCUACCUGGACCUGGUUGUUCCUGACGGAAGGAAUAACCCCUGUAGGUGCUUCUGGACACAGCUCCAAAGUGGGAAAAUUGCAUUGACUCGAGGCUGGGAGGAGUUCUAUCAGAUGUACAAGAUCAAUCUGGACUCCAUGCUAUAUUUCACACACAAAGGAAACUCCACUUUCCAAGUUAGGAUUUUUGAUUUUGGUGGUAUUGAGAACUCGUACCAACUCCGUGAUCCUGAAGAACCACCAUAUAUAAGGACUGGUAAUUAUGAAAUUGCAAAGUGUAUCAACAUCCCUCCUUCAGCCAGUGCUAGAGCGGUUGCCGCAAAGGUCAAAAGCAAGUGGCCUUUCUUUGUGAUGGACCUAACUGCUCCCAUGAUGUCGUCGAGAUUAUUGCCGAACGUCCCUCAUCUCAGUAACUUCACUGGUCAGAGACACCGUCUCAUCCUCACACACGGCCACAUACAGGUCGAAGCUACAUAUACAAGGUAUAGUGAAAAAAGGGAUGGAAGCUUCGGCGUCAUUUCUGGAGGAUGGGAGAACUUUGCUUCAUUGUGCAACUUCAAGCCAGGCGGCGUGGGUGUCUUCGAGGUGAUAUCAACGGAGCCAGUGACGAUCAUCCAGGUCAGAUGCAGAUAGGAUGCAGAAGGAUGAGUGACUGAAGGCGCUUAGCCCCUGUGUUUGACCUCAGUGUCAAAAUAUAUCAUGAUACGACUUUUGCAUUAGGUUUAUAUGUGUUUUGUUUGUUGAACAGUUAUAAUGACUUUUUUUUUUUGGUGUUAUGAAAUUGAAAACAACUUUUGGUAGUAACCCUAAAACAAAAUCGCAUUCGCAAAUGAUAUACUUUUCUGCUCGUUUUUUUAAUUGAGUUUUCCAUUUUAACUUGAUUGGACAGAAAUUAGUUUUCCAAGUACAAAAGGCAGAGUUGCCUUAAUUUUUUUAACUAUGAUGUAUAGCCGGAAUAAAUGUUUGAUGGCCUUUACAAAAAUUUAUAAAAAAAAUCUGGCCCAAUAGGCAUGGAAGAAAACAAAACCUCGUAUCUUUUUAUGUGAUGCUAUCCCUUAUAUGUUGGGCUUUAAAUUUACAAUGUAAAGGGGGUUUUUUUUAAAAAAAUUGAUUUUAUUUGACCUCAAAAUGUUAAAGAAAAAAAAGUAAAUCGAGAAACAUGAAAACACCGGUAAUGUUUGAAUGAAGUCGUAUGUGAACACUUUUUGUUUUUUUUAACUUGGUUUAAUGAGAAAUGUUUUUCUUUUUUGACACAUGAACAGAAUAGUAAAAAUUUUUUAGGCCCAAUCAAUGCGUAAAAUAGCCCAACCGUCGUUUAUUUUAAUCAAGCAAGGGUGGGUAAUUUAUUGUUGUUGGGCUUGGAUCUCAGUUGGGUCACUGGUCUAGAGUGGAGUGUCUGCCUUUUUUUUUUAAUUAUUUUGCAGGUCCAGCGCAUAGAUAAGAAGCGGUGGAUCUUGAAGAGAAGAACGAGAACCACUAAUUGCCGAUUCUAAUGAGAUAAGACUUUAUCCACAUCCAAUAUCACUCUAUCCAACACCAAGCGAGGGUUCUACAAAUGGGCAGAUUCUCUUCAACCCCAUCAACGCUCGUGAGGUUGAGGUUUUCCCUAAUUUCUUUAAUCGUCACAAUUAGCGGUAGUAUCAUGGAUGCCCUGAAUCGACUCACAGGAUGGUUUGUUUCUCGCUAAAUCAAAGUGGCUCUUUCGUCGAUACGAUGAUUGUGUUCGGGAAGCAGUGUUCUUUCAAAGUGUUGCUGGGUGGACAUUUGUGUUCCAAGAUGCACAUUGGUUGAUGAAAUUGACAGCAAUGGGGUUGCCGUCGCCAUUCAGAUCCUGGAAACUGCAUUUACAUGUGAAGCCACUCAAUAACCGAACCCAAAGCAGCCAACACGUCUGACUAUGAAGGUAAGACAAUGGCGUGAUGGUUGUAAUGUGAAUAAAAUUUUAAGGGUUACUAGGUUAGGCUCUUUUAAUACAAUGUUGUCGGAGUCAAUAUUGUCGGAGAUACCAGCGGGUGACGGAAAAAAGUUUUGACUCAGAAAAAAUAUAGAUGCUCGUGUAUGUUUGAAUGAAAGUUGGUAUGGAGUUGUUGGUUUCUUAGCGCUAAGGCUUGGGUAUUUUGUUGUUUUUUUGUACACUGGUAAAUCCAUGAUGAAUUCCUUAUGACACUACUGAGUGAAUAUAUGAUUGAAUUUUCGAGGUUGAUCGGUUUCCAUCACGAGCAGUGGAUGUGGGAAAUGAUUUUCCGUAUCACUUCCUGCUGGUCGUUAUGAAAACAUUUCAAACUUGACUACUCAAACUUUGAUUCGCUCAAAGUGGAUCACAAAUAAUUCGUAUAAGGAUUUAACAUGUACUUGAAAACCACAAAAUAUCCAUGUUUUAGUCCUAAGAACUCAGGAAGUGCAUACCAACCUUCAUUUAACCAUACACUAUCAUCUACAUUCUUCCGUCUGACUUUCAUUCCGUCACCAGUUGGUAGCUCCGACAAAAUUGGAGUUGAUAAUCAUUCCCACUUGGUUUUGUCUCGAGUAAUUCAUAAUUUUCCUACGUAGCGGAACACCGUAUAUGUUUCACGAACAGUUGUACUUAUACCUUUUCCACAUACUUAUGCACGGAAGACAAAAGCAAAAUAUUAACUAACCGUAUCUCAUCUCAAUGCACGACGAGGAUGCGCGAAGGGAACAGAUGACGUUGCUUCUCCCCCAAGAGAUCAGGAAGAUGGUGAAAAUGAGAAGGACCAUUCCCAAACCAACUUAGGCACUUGAGCUGCGGGACCGAUUCAUUUUCCCACGGAAGAAAUCCGUCUAAAGGUGGAACACUGGGAAAGAAAAUUGAUGAAGAACCUAGAACCCAAAGGCUAAAGGGUCCUAAUACUAAACAAUGUUACGGAUGCUGGAUGACUACAUUCUGGAAAUAUUCAAGCUCUCAAUGCCGGGAAGGAAAACCCUGCCUGUCAAAGUAAAAUCAUGCCGUAGUCAAGUAGCUGAGAAGAUAGAAAUCUUCGUUAUUGUACAACUUAAAGGAAAUGUCGGCAGUGUUUCAAACAUUUAUUGUUUCUAGUGUUAAAUUCAGUCAGUAUGUAAGAGUCUAACAACCUCAAAAUAUUAUUGAACCUAACAAUCGAAAAUAUGAUA